GUCUGUUUGAUGAUAUAAAUGGUUUAACCUGCCCACUGAAAUAUAUUAAAGGGCCGCGGUAAUUUAACCGUGCAAAGGUAGCAUAAUCACUAGUCUUUUAAAUGGAGGCUUGAAUGAACGGUUGAACAAAUAAAUAACUGUCUAUUUUUUAAAUUUUGAAUUUAACUUUUAAGUGAGAAGGCUUAAAUAUUUCAAAGGGACGAUAAGACCCUAUAAAUCUUUAUAUAAAUAUUUAUUUUUAAUUGAUAAGAAUGUUUAAUAAUUUAUAAUAGAUAAUAUAUUUUAUUGGGGCGAUAAAAGUAUAAAUAAUGUAACUGCUUAUAGGUAAAUACUUGUAUCUUUGUUUUAUUUAAUGAUCCUUUAAAAGAUUAAAAGAUUAAGUUACUUUAGGGAUAACAGCGUUAUUUUUUUUGAAAGUUCUUAUUGAAAAAAAAGUUUGCGACCUCGAUGUUGAAUUAAAAUUUCUUUAUGGUGUAGCCGUUAUAAGAGAAGGUCUGUUC
This 500-nucleotide ribosomal RNA is filed under the name Paromolopsis boasi. RNAcentral describes it as "partial large subunit ribosomal RNA". It matches the Rfam family "Bacterial large subunit ribosomal RNA", at positions 1830 to 2582 of the family's 2925-position model. The record is from RNAcentral. Lineage: Eukaryota; Metazoa; Arthropoda; Malacostraca; Decapoda; Homolidae.